This 450-nucleotide ribosomal RNA is filed under the name uncultured Anaerolineaceae bacterium. RNAcentral describes it as "bacterial SSU rRNA". It matches the Rfam family "Bacterial small subunit ribosomal RNA", at positions 28 to 484 of the family's 1533-position model. Lineage: Bacteria; Bacillati; Chloroflexota; Anaerolineae; Anaerolineales; Anaerolineaceae. The record is from RNAcentral.
GAUGAACGCUGGCGGCGUGCCUAAUACAUGCAAGUCGAACGGAGAUUCUGUCGUAAUUCGUUACAGCGGAAAUCUCAGUGGCGAACGGGUGAGUAACGCGUUGGUGACCUGCCCCGGAGAGGGGGAUAACAGCUUGAAAGGGCUGCUAAUACCCCAUGAUGUCUAGAGGGUUAGAAACCUCUAGACGAAAGGCUUCGGUCGCUUCGGGAGGGGCCUGCGUCCCAUCAGCUAGUUGGUAGGGUAAUGGCCUACCAAGGCGAAGACGGGUAGGGGACCUGAGAGGGUGACCCCCCACAAUGGAACUGAAACACGGUCCAUACACCUACGGGCGGCAGCAGUAGGGAAUAUUGCACAAUGGGCGAAAGCCUGAUGCAGCAACGCCGCGUGCGCGAAGAAGGCCUUCGGGUUGUAAAGCGCUUUUCGGGGAGAAGAGGAAGGACGGUUCCCCGG